RNAcentral lists this long non-coding RNA (260 nucleotides) under Brassica napus (rape). RNAcentral's name for it is "long non-coding RNA (BNAP_LNC026739)". The record is from RNAcentral. Lineage: Eukaryota; Viridiplantae; Streptophyta; Magnoliopsida; Brassicales; Brassicaceae.
ACAGGUCUAAUGAUGAUCAGAUCCGGCCUCGCCAGCGUCGUAGCCGGGGUGGUAUGGGGAGCCAGUCUCGGGGUUCGUCCAGCCAUGUUCAGGAUUCCGUUUCGCCCCACAGCUCCUACCAUACAUCUCCCUCUCCAUUACCCGCUCCUGCUGCUCCCGCUCCCGCUGCUGCACCCGCUCCUGCUCCUCCGGGUCCUCCGGGAGUGAUGAGUGUUGCGGAGUUGGUUCGACAGCCCGGUCGUGACCAUCUUCCCUGUCUC